CGUUUGCGGUGGGAAUCCGGUGGGAAUCCGGGGAUAAAAAAUAAUAAUAGGUCCGUUAUGCUCUGGAUAGAGACGCGUUGUUCGAACUGGCGAGAGCUUUCCGAGCUAAAGGUUAGCUGAUGACCGGCUAGCUGAAGACCGCUAGCAAUGGUUUGCUGACUGAUAGCUGGUAGUUAGCUGGCUAGCUUCAGUUGAGGGGAUCCGGAUCCGAAGUAAAUAUAAAUACUUCAGAAAAAAUAGCAACAUUGGGUGAGGCGGGUUGCAGGAGAGUAUUUGGAAGUUGAGGUUUAGCAAAAUGUUUUAAAAGAUACGCAAAGAAAAAUAUGUUAAAAAUUAUUAUUUUUUUAAACGAUAUAUACGAUAUAUACAAGGGACACGACACGACAAGACGUCCGACUGCUACGCCAUCUUGGAGAAAGGUUGUAAGGAAUUGGAAGGACUUCUAGGUCAGGUGAGCAGAAGAACUUGAGUUCCUGUGUGUUGUUAUGGUUACAACAUGAGUCGUUAAUCAUAAAGCAUAAACCCCCGCCCUUCCUCUUCCUAGAGAGGUGUUUAUCUCUGUCGGCGCGAUGCAUGGAGAAGCCCGGUGGCCUGAACCGAUUCCGACAAAAUAUCCAAGAGAGCCAUGUUUCUGUGAAACAGAGAAUGUUACAAUCUCUGAUGUCUCUCUGGAAGACAACCCUUGCUCUAAUUUUGUCUACCUUGUCAGGAGACUUGACAUUGGCGAGUAGUAUACUCGGGAGCGGUGAGCGAUGUGCACGUCUACGGCGCCUAACCAGAAUACCGCUCCUUCUGCCCCUUAUGCGGCGUCGUUGUUUUGGGUCGGCUACUGGGAUCAGAUCCAUUGUCCUGGGUGGUGGUCGAAACAGAGGUUCUUCUUCGGGAAAGUCAUAUUCCUGGUCGUAAUGUUGCCUAUCGGAUUUCCUGUUAUGUACCUAUUGCCUGAUCUCCCGGACUACGUUCUUAGCCUUUUCCCUGCCUGUACUGUUGCCCUUUUGGACCCCCUGUGCAUGACCUUCUGCCUGCCCCUGGACCCAGCUACCUGCUUCCUCCUGUGUAUGACCUUCUGCCUGCCCCUGGACCCAGCUACCUGCUUCCUCCUGUGUAUGACCUUCUGCCUGCCUCUGGACCCAGCUACCUACCUCCUCCUGUGUAUGACCUUCUGCCUGCCCCUGGACCCAGCUACCUGCCUCCUCCUGUGUAUGACCUUCUGCCUGCCCCUGGACCCAGCUACCUGCUUCCUCCUGUGUAUGACCUUCUGCCUGCCCCUGGACCCAGCUACCUGCUUCCUCCUGUGUAUGACCUUCUGCCUGCCCCUGGACCCAGCUACCUGCUUCCUCCUGUGUAUGACCUUCUGCCUUCCCCUGGACCCAGCUACCUGCCUCCUCCUGUGUAUGACCUUCUGCCUUCCCCUGGACCCAGCUACCUACCUCCUCCUGUGUAUGACCUUCUGCCUGCCCCUGGAGCCAGCUACCUGCUUCCUCCUGUGUAUGACCUUCUGCCUGCCCCUGGACCCAGCUACCUGCCUCCUCCUGUGUAUGACCUUCUGCCUGCCCCUGGACCCAGCUACCUGCCUGCCUCCUGUGGUCCUUUGUAAUAAACACCUGCUGCGCCCUGCGCUUGAAACCAGCUCUCUGUCUCCCCUCUUUAUUACACUCUGCCGGCGCCAUGGUUGAUAUUCAGUGCAUUGUUAUGGAUUACUCUUUGGAGAGGACACCCUUCAAUGCACAAUAAAUACUGACUCCAAAGACGAACCCUCCUCCCAAUCUAAAGACCAGAUACAGUAUCACCCCAUGUUUCCCCAUUCACCUUGAUGAAGGACAACCUCUCCCUCUAUGUACAGUAGAUGAAGCUAACCAUUGAUAAUGCAUGUCAAUGUGUUAUAUCUUAUUGCAUAAGAGACACACAUGAAUACCAUGAUUGGACCAGCGCAGAGAGAUAGAGCAAUGAUGUGUGUAACCGAGGGGAAAUUCAUUUAUGCCAAGUCCUCCAGACAGUCAAUAGAAUCGCUG
Long non-coding RNA from Oncorhynchus tshawytscha (Chinook salmon), 2012 nucleotides. NCBI's taxonomy places the organism in Eukaryota, Metazoa, Chordata, Actinopteri, Salmoniformes, Salmonidae. The record is from Ensembl.